RNA transcript from Planococcus citri (citrus mealybug), 4139 nucleotides. RefSeq lists it as uncharacterized. The transcript is spliced from 9 exons. The record is from RefSeq and is a predicted model, not a curated record. NCBI's taxonomy places the organism in Eukaryota, Metazoa, Arthropoda, Insecta, Hemiptera, Pseudococcidae.
UUACGAGACGUUCGUUGCAUUUAUUGUGAAUUCUCGCUCGAGUUGGUUUAUUAAUGCAAAAUUUCUUGUGAUUAAAUUAUUUUUUCUGCAUCAGUUUUAUUUUUAUUGAUGCUUGUGCAUAACGGGUCAAUGUUGUUGUAAUUCAAAAUGAAUCAAGAGACGAUCAAUACGAAGGAAUCUUUACGUAAAAAUACCAUCGUUUUACUUUAUUUAAGUUUGAUUGGUAAUAUCUGGGGAUUGAUAACCGCUUACAGAAUAUUUAAUAAUUUAUCCUAUAAACAGUUUUUACAUGAUGAGAUUUCCAUUUUACUUGACUUUGCUCUCCUAGUGAUUGGAAGUAUGAUUUUCUUCAAUACCAUCUCUCUUCCUCGGUUCGUUUACUGUGGAUGGCUAUUAUUUUUUCCCUGUUGGACGCAUUUUAUAUGAUUUAUGGCUUGAUUCAAAUGCAUUCUAAUAAUGAUGUGAGGGAAGUAUUGUUUAAUAUUUCGAGGCAAAGAGAGGUAGCCAAAGUAAUUCAGGCUGAACAAAGCUCAUAUUGGUUUCCUAUGGAGUCAUUUUCAUCCUCGAUGCUUGUUGUUAUUGUUUCUCUGGUGAUUGGUAUAGCAUUCAAAUUGUAUUCAGCAUUAAUAUUUCACAUCUACAAACUCCUAUUACAACGAUGGCCCAAUCCAGGCGCAACAGCUCCACAAAAUGAUUCAUGUGCACCUUCGAUUUACACAGUGCAAGUAUCAGAUUCUCAUUGUAUGAGCCAGUUUCCUCAAUAUCUUCACCGAAAUCCAUCUUUUAUGCGACGUGUGUUUUCUCCAGCACAGAAAACUCCUCAGUAUUAUUUUCAGCCUCGUAUGAUUACUCAUGUUCCACUUCACGCUAGUCAAAGUCAGUUCGCUUCAAAGUCACAAACUCCUAGGAUCUCAUCCACUAUUCCUAAUCAGUGUCAGUGCCUUAUCGCACCUCUUGAAUAUAUUAAUCAAUCUCCCAAUAUCCCAUCCAGCAAUCCUAAUUAAUGUAUGUAAUUUUCCCAAAAUCAUUUCAUACCUAUUUGAAAUUAACUUUCAUAUUUUACCUAUUUUAUUGAAUUUUUUUAAGAUGGCAGUACUAUCUACUUACCUAUUUAGGAGGAGGUUCUAAAUAUGAACCCAUCGCAGUUCACAAAAAUGAGCUAGCGCUAUAGAGCCAUACUGGGUACCUACUAAAAAUUAUACCAGGGUCAUUCCACCUCAAAUUGAUCAACGUUUUUGAGUCAUGUCCUUCGAUUUCGUUCAAUUUUUUUUUACAGUGUCUACCCACCUAAUAAGUAAGAAACCCGCAAUCGGUUUGGUCCCAGCUCCCUCAGGGGGUGGGUGGGGGGGGCUUCAACCAUUUUCACAUUGUCUCAAGGUAUUCAACUUCAGCAGUGCGUACCUCUAAAGCUAUGAUACAUUAAUCAAAACUGAUUCCACAGUUUGAAAAGGCAUUUUGAAUUUCAAACUUUUCAAGUAGGGUAAGUACCUAUUUUGAAAUUUUCAAAAGUUGGAAGUUGAACUCAAAUUGAAAGUUCAAAUUGCAAAAUAGCGUUGUAUGUGGGAGCUAACCAUUUAAAAUUCUGAAAAAUUUCCAUAGAUGUACCUUUUGACGUUAUUUUGAGGUAUUCAAUUCUCGAGAUGGAAUCUUCUGAUGGAAGGGAGCACCCUCCCCCCAAAUUUGGGCAAAACUUUCAAAAAAAUCUGGGGCAUGUGACAUAUCGAAUUGUAUGUUUUUGGUGACGCUGAAUACGAAUAUGAUGUCAGAUUUUUGAUUGAACCCCAUCCAAGGCCCCCCAGCACCUCCCCAAAUGGGGUAAAAGUUCAAAAAAAUGUUUUGUUCGUGCGACACAUGAAAUGGUAUGUUUUUGGGGAUGCUGAAAACGAAUAUGACGUCAGAUUUUUGAUUGGACCAAAUGAAACAAAUAUUGUGGACUUUUACCCCCUUUGGGGACCUCCUAGGGGCCGUAUAUGAGAUCCAAUAAAGAAUCUGACGUCAUAUUCGUGUUCAGCGUUCCCAAAAACAUCCUAUUACAGGUGCCACACGAACAAAACACUUAAUUGAAUUUUUACCCCAAUUGAGGACCUCCUGGGGGCCGUAAAUCAAAAAUCUGACGUCAUAUUCGUGUUCAGCGUCACCAAAAACAUACAAUUCGAUAUGUCACAUGCCCCAGAUUUUUUUUCGAAAGUUUUUCCCAAAUUUGGGGGAGGAGGUGCUCCCCUUCCGUCAGAAGAUUUCAUCUCAAAAAUUGAAUAUUUCGAAAAAACAUUAGAAGGUACAUCUAUGGAAAUUUCUUCAGAAUUUUAAAUGGUAGCUCCCACUUACAGCGCCAUUUUGAAAUUUGAACUUUCAAUUUGAAAGUUCAACUUUCAGCUAUGAAAAUUUCAAAAUGCUUAAAAAGUUCAAAAUUCAAUGCCCUUUUGAACUGUGAAAUCAGUUUUGAUCAAAGUAUUAUAGCUUUGGAGGCAUGCACUGCUAAAGUUACAGACAAUGUGAAAAUAAUUGAAGCCCCCCCAUCCACCUCCCCUUAAGUGAGCUGAGACCAAACUGGGUGGGUAGACAUUGUAAAAAAAAUUGAGCAAAACCGAAAGACACGACUUUCAAAAUCGCAUUUUUUUUUGGUUGAAUUGACAUAGAAUGGCCCACCUUGUAAUGUAGUGUCAACGAUCCGGGUUAUAAUUGCGGGUUCAUAUAUGUACAUACCUAUUUGUACCACUUACCUAUUCUAUGUAUUAUAUUAUUAUAUUAUAUUUUCCGCAUUUAUGAUUUGUACUUGUUCAUUUUAUAACGUUUGAAUAUUUUCCUCUCAUAAAUUCCCUUUGUAUUCUGAAACCAAUAUACCUAAGUACUUCUAAAAGUGACUUAUUUAUAUGUACCUACGAUGAGUUAUAUAAUAAAGAGAUAAUUUAUGAUACUUUGGUCAAAUUAAUCAGCUGCUCUUCUCACGCGAUUUAAUUCCACUACCUACUCCUUUUUUUCGUAGACCUAUUCUCUUGAGAUUCAGCACGUUUUAAUAAAAACCCACCUGCAGUGAAAUUAGUCAAAUUGCAAGAACGUGAAUUGUUAAAAUGUGGAAUUACUGUUUAUUUGUACCUCCCACCCAGAAUGCUGAGAUGUAGUGGAAGUGGAUAAUACUCGUAUAAUACAAAGAUACCUACGUUAUUCUUAUAUGAUGCGAAUAAAAUUUCUUGAACUUGUGCCAGUCGUUAUUCCGACGACAACACUGGCGUCUGGUGUUGCCUGAUUUCGUGUUUAGAAUGAUAAACUAAAAUAAUAUUACGAUGUGUAGUUUGUAAAAAUCAAAUUUAGUUCCUUUAAUUUCUUUUUGUAUUUUGUGUGCUGAAUGAAAAUGUCUACGAGUUGUGAAAAAUCUCUUCGUAAAGUUACCUUAAGCUUACUUUAUAUUUCUGUGAUUCAUAGCGUGGUGUGGUAUUUAUCUGGUGCGUCUUCACAUGAAUUGGAGCACCAGCAAGUUCAUUUCUGGUAUAUGUUGGUGGAAUGUUUAUUUUUCUUGAUUGCAAUCACAAAUAUUAAUAAUAAAAAGUCUGUUCAGAGUAAUGGCUUGUCGGGGUUAUUCGCCGCUGAAUUAUUCUCAUGUAUGGAUGCUGUGAUUUUUAUUUCUUUUGGUUAUUUAUUGAUUAAGGAACAAGGAUACGAAGGAUUAGAGAUGUUGAGAGGAAUUUUCAUGAUCGUGUCUACAAUUUUCAAAAUUGUAUCCGAAUUGGUGUUUUGGAGUUAUCAGGUUGAAUUGAGGCGAGAUCAUUUUCAAGACAUACCAACUCAUCGAAAUGUUUAUCAUCAGAGAAUAAGGACAUUUGUGUCGGUGCUCUAAUUAUACGUAGCCGGUUGUAAAGUUUCCAAAUUAGUUAACUUGCUCAAUUCUCGCAAAAACUCUCAAAAGAGAUUAUAAGAUGACAUUUCAAACCAGAAAAUGUUAUAAUCGCUCAAUAUAGGAAAAGCAUCAUAAUUUUUUUCAGAAGGUCUCACCUUCAAUCUUGCGCACCUAUAUAAAUGGACUUCAUCAAGAACUUUUUGUUCUGGUAUUUUUUAUAAAGUGAUUGUAAAAAUCAUCUAAGUAUUUAUUGUUUUUGUUUUUCAUGUUUUCUAAUCUGAGUAAUAAAAAUUUUGAUAAUUUUUAA